AUUGAACGCUGGCGGCAUGCCUUACACAUGCAAGUCGAACGGCAGCACGGGUGCUUGCACCUGGUGGCGAGUGGCGAACGGGUGAGUAAUACAUCGGAACAUGUCCUGUAGUGGGGGAUAGCCCGGCGAAAGCCGGAUUAAUACCGCAUACGAUCUACGGAUGAAAGCGGGGGACCUUCGGGCCUCGCGCUAUAGGGUUGGCCGAUGGCUGAUUAGCUAGUUGGUGGGGUAAUGGCCUACCAAGGCGACGAUCAGUAGCUGGUCUGAGAGGACGACCAGCCACACUGGGACUGAGACACGGCCCAGACUCCUACGGGAGGCAGCAGUGGGGAAUUUUGGACAAUGGGCGAAAGCCUGAUCCAGCAAUGCCGCGUGUGUGAAGAAGGCCUUCGGGUUGUAAAGCACUUUUGUCCGGAAAGAAAUCCUUGGCCCUAAUACGGUCGGGGGAUGACGGUACCGGAAGAAUAAGCACCGGCUAACUACGUG
This 486-nucleotide ribosomal RNA is filed under the name uncultured bacterium. Its description in RNAcentral is "partial 16S ribosomal RNA". It matches the Rfam family "Bacterial small subunit ribosomal RNA", at positions 30 to 507 of the family's 1533-position model. The record is from RNAcentral.